GGAGGAGGUCGAGCAACCGCCCGCCACGGCGUGGCGGGAGGAAAGUCCGGACUCCGCAGGGCAGGGUGGCCGCUAACGACGGCCCCGAGCGAUCGGGGGAAAGUGCCACAGAAAGGAGUCCGCCCCGGACCACUGGUCCGGAGCAAGGGUGAAACGGCGAGGUAAGAGCUCGCCAGGCCCGCCCGUGAGGGCGGGCGCUCGGUAAACCCCACCCGGAGCAAGACCGCGUAGGAGGGAGGCCUGGCCUUUUGGCCUGGCGCGGAUGGCCCGUCCGUUCCCUCGGGUCGGUCGCUCGAUCCCCCGGGUAACCGGGGGGCCAGACGAAUGGUUGCUGCUCCCGCGAUCUGGGCGGGAGAACAGAAUCCGGCUUACAGACCUCCUCCGGCG
This 387-nucleotide RNase P RNA is filed under the name Deltaproteobacteria bacterium. RNAcentral's name for it is "RNase P RNA component class A". It matches the Rfam family "Bacterial RNase P class A". From Rfam's summary of the family: Ribonuclease P (RNase P) is a ubiquitous endoribonuclease, found in archaea, bacteria and eukarya as well as chloroplasts and mitochondria. Its best characterised activity is the generation of mature 5'-ends of tRNAs by cleaving the 5'-leader elements of precursor-tRNAs. Lineage: Bacteria; Pseudomonadati; Myxococcota; Myxococcia. The record is from RNAcentral.